CCUACGGGUGGCAGCAGUAGGGAAUAUUGCUCAAUGGGGGAAACCCUGAAGCAGCAAAGUCGCGUGGAGGAUGAAGGUUUUAGGAGUGUAAAAUCAUUUUGGUAGAGAAGUGUAUGGAGGUAUGUAACGACUAUGCACCGGCUAACUCCGUGCCAGCAGCCGCGGUAAUACGGAGGGUGCAAGCGUUAAUCGGAAUUACUGGGCGAAAAGGGUGCGUAGGCGGCGUGUUAAGUGAGAUGUGAAAUACUGUCGCUUAUCUACAGAACUGCAUUUGAAACUGUUACUCUUGAGUGCGGGCGAGGUAGGUGGAAUUCGUGGUGUAGCGGUGAAAUCCGUAGAGAUCACGAAGAAUACUCAUUGCGAAGGCGACCUACUGGAACAUUACUGACGCUGAUGCACGAAAGCGUGGGGAGCAAACAGGAUUAGAUACCCGGGUAGUC
RNAcentral lists this ribosomal RNA (440 nucleotides) under uncultured bacterium. Its description in RNAcentral is "partial 16S ribosomal RNA". It matches the Rfam family "Bacterial small subunit ribosomal RNA", at positions 338 to 795 of the family's 1533-position model. The record is from RNAcentral.